GACGAACGCUGGCGGCGUGCCUAAUACAUGCAAGUCGGACGCACAGUCUAUACCGUAGCUUGCUACACCAUAGGCUGUGAGUUGCGAACGGGUGAGUAACGCGUAGGUAACCUGCCUAUUAGAGGGGGAUAACUAUUGGAAACGAUAGCUAAUACCGCAUAACAGUAUGUAACACAUGUUAGAUGCUUGAAAGAUGCAAUUGCAUCGCUAGUAGAUGGACCUGCGUUGUAUUAGCUAGUAGGUAGGGUAAUGGCCUACCUAGGCGACGAUACAUAGCCGACCUGAGAGGGUGAUCGGCCACACUGGGACUGAGACACGGCCCAGACUCCUACGGGAGGCAGCAGUAGGGAAUCUUCGGCAAUGGGGGGAACCCUGACCGAGCAACGCCGCGGGAGUGAAGAAGGUUUUCGGAUCGUAAAGCUCUGUUGUUAAGGAAGAACGAGUGUGAGAAUGGAAAGUUCAUACUGUGACGGUACUUAACCAGAAAGGGACGGCUAACUACGUG
RNAcentral lists this ribosomal RNA (505 nucleotides) under uncultured bacterium. RNAcentral describes it as "partial 16S ribosomal RNA". It matches the Rfam family "Bacterial small subunit ribosomal RNA", at positions 28 to 507 of the family's 1533-position model. The record is from RNAcentral.